GAAGAGGAUCUAGACAGCAGUGUAAAGGUAUUGAUACGAGGAGAGGAGGAUCUAGACAGCAGUGUAAAUGUAUUGAUACGAGGAGAGGAGGAUCUAGACAGCAGUGUAAAGGUAUUGAUACGAGGAGAGGAGGAUCUAGACAGCAGUGUAAAGGUAUUGAUACGAGGAGAGGAGGAUCUAGACAGCAGUGUAAAGGUAUUGAUACGAGGAUAGGAGCUCAGAUUCUAUCUGUCCUUGAUCUCCAGCAGUAGGUCUAGAUCUCUGCUUCCUCCAGUACAGACGGCCUCUGCCUCAACACACUGCUUCCUCCAAUCCUUACUACCUCUGACUCAACACAGUGCUUCCUCCAAUCCUUACUACCUCUGACUCAACACAAUGCUUCCUCCAAUCCUU
Molecule: long non-coding RNA, 393 nt
Filed under: Salmo salar (Atlantic salmon)
Lineage: Eukaryota; Metazoa; Chordata; Actinopteri; Salmoniformes; Salmonidae
Description: lncRNA (ENSSSAG00000107724.1, ENSSSAG00020055991.1)
Source: RNAcentral